GAUGAGAACGUAGCGAAAUGCGAUAAGUAUUGUGAAUUGCAGAAUUCAGUGAAUCAUCGAAUCUUUGAACGCACAUUGCGCCCCCUGGUAUUCCGGGGGGCAUGCCUGAUCGAGCGUCAUUUCACCACUCAAGCCUCGCUUGGUAUUGGGCAACGCGGUCCGCCGCGUGCCUCAAAUCGACCGGCUGGGUCUUCUGUCCCCUAAGCGUUGUGGAAACUAUUCGCUAAAGGGUGUUCGGGAGGCUACGCCGUAAAACAACCCCAUUUCUAAGGUUGACCUCGGAUCAGGUAGGGAUACCCGCUGAACUUAAGCAUAUCAAUAAGCGGAGGA
RNAcentral lists this unclassified non-coding RNA (330 nucleotides) under soil metagenome. Its description in RNAcentral is "partial contains 5.8S ribosomal RNA, internal transcribed spacer 2, and large subunit ribosomal RNA". The stretch from base 5 to 119 matches the Rfam family "5.8S ribosomal RNA", at positions 40 to 154 of the family's 154-position model. The record is from RNAcentral.